This 497-nucleotide ribosomal RNA is filed under the name uncultured bacterium. RNAcentral's name for it is "partial 16S ribosomal RNA". It matches the Rfam family "Bacterial small subunit ribosomal RNA", at positions 28 to 507 of the family's 1533-position model. The record is from RNAcentral.
GAUGAACGCUGGCGGCGUGCCUAAUACAUGCAAGUCGAGCGAACGGACGAGAAGCUUGCUUCUCUGAUGUUAGCGGCGGACGGGUGAGUAACACGUGGAUAACCUACCUAUAAGACUGGGAUAACUUCGGGAAACCGUAGCUAAUACCGGAUAAUAUUUUGAACCGCAUGGUUCAAAAGUGAAAGACGGUCUUGCUGUCACUUAUAGAUGGAUCCGCGCUGCAUUAGCUAGUUUGUAAGGUAACGGCUUACCAAGGCAACGAUGCAUAGCCGACCUGAGAGAGUGAUCGGCCACACUGGAACUGAGACACGGUCCAGACUCCUACGGGAGGCAGCAGUAGGGAAUCUUCCGCAAUGGGCGAAAGCAUGACGGAGCAACGCCGCGUGAGUGAUGAAGGUCUUCGGAUCGUAAAACUCUGUUAUUAGGGAAGAACAUAUGUGUAAGUAACUGUGCACAUCUUGACGGUACCUAAUCAGAAAGCAACGGCUAACUACGUG